Molecule: long non-coding RNA, 2744 nt
Organism: Pollicipes pollicipes
Lineage: Eukaryota; Metazoa; Arthropoda; Thecostraca; Pollicipedomorpha; Pollicipedidae
Exons: 4
Source: RefSeq, a predicted model, not a curated record
UCGCUGUCGCUCGGCCGCCGCCCCAUGCCCAGCCCCAAGCCGGAGCGGGUGCGGCAGCUGGCGGCCAGCCGCACCGCCGGCCCGCCGCCUCCCGUCGUCAGAUGCUGUGGAGCACUGCCAGGGGUCCGAACAUCCACUGAAUCCUGCGACAGCGGAGUGACGUCAUGCGAUUCAACGGCCUCAUCGUCUUCCGGCCCGGCUGCGAGUGACGUCACACGCGCCAAGCUCAACGCCGCCGACAUCACGCGCGAAGGGGCGGGCGGUGUCGGCUGCGAGAGUCCUCUGUCGGCCACCUCUGAAAGCUCUAAUUCACCGAGGUCUAUGGCGACGCAGAAGCCGCGGUCCGGGGUCGAGUACCAGUGCCUGGACAGGGCCAGGCUGCUGGCUCAGCUGAGCGACCCCGGGACGCCGAUCCGGAGCGGCGGCGCGUUCAACGGAGCUGGAGCUGGCUCUGGAGCUGGUGCUGGCGCUGGAGCUGGAGCUGGAGCUGGCGCCGGAUAUUCGGUCGACAUCUAGUCCGGCGCUGUACCAGGGCGCGGCGCUGACCCGACCUAGGCCGACCCGGCGUUGGGCCGCCGCGCGCGCCGCUGUCUGAUCUGUCUUCUGCGCCGGUGUCUCAUCCGUCUCCGGAGUUGUUGUUUGAUCUGUCUUCGGCACUGACGUUUGAUCUGUCGUCUGCGGCGCCGCUGCCUGAUGCGUUUUGGGGCCGGUGCCUGAUCUGUCUUCGGCGCCGGUGUCUCAUCCGUCUUCGAAGCCACCGUCUGAUCUGUCUUCGGCGCCGGUGUCUUGAUCUGUCGUCUUGCGGUGCUGAGACGGCACAGCCGGCGCUUGAGACCGCAGCCUGUCCCGGCGAGUGCCCCUGCUGGCGGCCUGCCAGUCUCCAUAGACAGCGGUGUACUCAUCAUCUCCUUACUCGAGGCUGUUUUGUUUUCGCUGGGUUCGUGUCCCAGACAUGUGUUGCCCUGUGUUGCGCAGUGCUGUGUGCUUCUCCCUUCCGGUUAGUUUUUAUACUGUCAUUGGACACCGUCUAAGAGUGCCUGAAGCUCCUGCUACCCAACAAAAACCGCCUAAGGGCCACACACGCGGUAGAGAGAAGCGGCAGCCAACUGCCUGCCCCACCAUUGAUGCUGAACAUCUCCGCUAAUCGCGGUGACUUCUGCACAUCACGCCAAGCGUUGUUGGUAUACGUUGUAAAGGACUGUCUUCAGCUGCGCUGAAGCCGCCAGCCCGCUCAAAUGAUCUCAACCUCCGUCACUGCACGCGGUCGGCGUGUGCGUAUCAAAUCGUGAUCUUUAACCACGUGCAGAGCGAAGACAUUGCAACUGAUGAAACACACACGCACUGCCGACUGUUGUAUUUCCUGGGCCGCUUCGUACCCCAGUAUGCAGGCUGUAAUUUUUUUUUUUGGCGGACGUGGGGUCUGUCUCAGAUCGGCGAAAUGUUCCUGUUUUUCGUUUUGGUCCCGACUCAGAACCAGCACAUGCUAAUUCACGCAAGACCUGCCUCGGUCCGAAUGUUCUCUGCGCGUUUUGCAUCGCCUGCGAGAUUCGCGUGUCCCACCCGGACGCCGUCCGGUCGGCCGGCUUCGUCGGCGCCGCGAGCCCCUGGCCGCUCCUCUGCUGCGCCCGCGGGGCCAGCAGGUGAUCUCAUAUCGCGGCGCGGCGCUCGGGCUACGUCGGCUGCCGCGUCCUCGCUCCACCCGCGCUCCCGCCGGCCUGUCGCGUCGCGUAACGUCACGUCACGUCACGUCACCCACUGCCAGCGUCACGGGCGUCCCUUGGUCCGCCUACGUGUUUGUGUUUGCUAGCAGCGCGUAUGUGAUAACGAGCGAGCUUGGGCGUGUUUGUCUGCUUGUCUGCCGCGCUUGGUGUUGCUCCUUUCGAUGUACCUGUUUGUGCAUGGGGUCCCGUGACAGUGGCAGCAUGGCCCUGUCAGAUGGGGAUGGGGUCAGGGGUCCGCUGGCUCCUCUCCAUGUCAGAGUUAGACUCAAGUUCGUUCCUAUUCGGGGGUGGUGCGCAUUGAUCGCUGGGUCAGCUCGCCCGUGCUGCCAUCUGUGGGCGAUCUCGGCGGCUCCGAGGGCUGCACCUGGCAGAAGUCAACGCUCAACUGUUUUCAUUGUCACUUGGGUGAGUUGGCGAACGCAGACGUCCUUUGCCUACUGGCGGCUUAAUCCAGCCCGUUGGCGGGGUCGAUGUCGAUUUAAUUGCGCAGCAAGACGCUGUCGGUGCAUCUAGUAUCAGGGUAAUUUUUGCGCUAGUUGGAGACAAAUUUCUCCCUUAUUCGCGACCUUUAGAUCACAUAGAGCGAGCAGUUGUCUGAUGUUGACUGAACUCAUUGUUUGUCUGACUGUGACGGAUGCCCUUUUCGCUUGAUUACUAGCGUAGGUCGACAUUGGCGUCGCGACAUAUGGUACGCGACUCAUCCCAGAUGUGCCCUAUUUGCACGUCUCCCUGCCGCGCUACUGUAUUCUAACCCUGCUCAGCUCCUCCGUAUGUACGUAUUGUCAAGCCUUGGUUGGGUGAUCAUGCAAAACGUCACUGCAAUCAUGGCAGUGAGUGGACGCUGAAUGAUGCCAUACGCUGCUGUCGCCAUCUGUGGAUGUGCCAGAGCACUAGAAGUUCGCAGCUGCUCCAUGUAGUCGUUCGGAGUUAAGACGCACCAGUGGCGCGUCUCAAAACUCUCCAGUUUGUACUUUUGUACGACGCCGUUGGCGUCUAUUCGAAUAAACAGAGCACAAAGUAUGA